Long non-coding RNA from Haliotis rubra (blacklip abalone), 169 nucleotides. RefSeq lists it as uncharacterized. Lineage: Eukaryota; Metazoa; Mollusca; Gastropoda; Lepetellida; Haliotidae. The transcript has 2 exons. The record is from RefSeq and is a predicted model, not a curated record.
AACGUUGUUGAGCAUUGAAAAACAUGGCAGCUGGUAGUAUGGGCAAAGGUCAGGGUCGAAUGUCGUCACACUCAAUAGUGACGCCAUCUGUUUUGUUCUAUGACGUUUCCAUAUUUGUAAAAAGUGGGACAGUGACCUCCAUCAUUUGUUGUUAGCAGAAAAAAUGCUU